RNAcentral lists this ribosomal RNA (465 nucleotides) under uncultured bacterium. Its description in RNAcentral is "partial 16S ribosomal RNA". It matches the Rfam family "Bacterial small subunit ribosomal RNA", at positions 338 to 795 of the family's 1533-position model. The record is from RNAcentral.
CCUACGGGCGGCAGCAGUGGGGAAUAUUGCGCAAUGGGCGAAAGCCUGACGCAGCGACGCCGCGUGAGGGAUGAAGGUCUUCGGAUCGUAAACCUCUGUCAGCAGGGAAGAACGGUCACUGUGCUAAUCAGUAGUGAAUUGACGGUACCUGCAAAGGAAGCACCGGCUAACUCCGUGCCAGCAGCCGCGGUAAUACGGAGGGUGCGAGCGUUAAGCGGAAUUACUGGGCGUAAAGCGCUCGUAGGCGGUAUUUCAAGUCAAGGGUGAAAUCCCCGCGCUGAACGUGGGAACUGCCUUUGAAACUGGGAGACUGGAGUGUGUGAGAGGAUAGUGGAAUUCCAGGUGUAGGAGUGAAAUCCGUAGAUAUCUGGAGGAACAUCAGUGGCGAAGGCGACUAUCUGGCACAUAACUGACGCUGAGGGGCGAAAGCGUGGGUAGCAAACAGGAUUAGAUACCCCUGUAGUC